AUCUAGGCUCUUGCAUCGAUGAAGAACGUAGCGAAAUGCGAUACUUGGUGUGAAUUGCAGAAUCCCGUGAACCAUCGAGUCUUUGAACGCAAGUUGCGCCCGAUGCCAUUAGGUUGAGGGCACGUCUGCCUGGGUGUCACAUAUCGAAGCCUCUUGCCAAUUUC
This 164-nucleotide ribosomal RNA is filed under the name Vicia tetrasperma. RNAcentral describes it as "5.8S ribosomal RNA". The stretch from base 1 to 139 matches the Rfam family "5.8S ribosomal RNA", at positions 18 to 154 of the family's 154-position model. Rfam says of the family: 5.8S ribosomal RNA (5.8S rRNA) is a component of the large subunit of the eukaryotic ribosome. It is transcribed by RNA polymerase I as part of the 45S precursor that also contains 18S and 28S rRNA. The record is from RNAcentral. Lineage: Eukaryota; Viridiplantae; Streptophyta; Magnoliopsida; Fabales; Fabaceae.